RNAcentral lists this non-coding RNA (123 nucleotides) under Frankia canadensis. RNAcentral's name for it is "TPP". It matches the Rfam family "TPP riboswitch aptamer (THI element)". Rfam says of the family: Vitamin B(1) in its active form thiamin pyrophosphate (TPP) is an essential coenzyme that is synthesised by coupling of pyrimidine and thiazole moieties in bacteria. The previously detected thiamin-regulatory element, thi box was extended, resulting in a new, highly conserved RNA secondary structure, the THI element, which is widely distributed in eubacteria and also occurs in some archaea. Analysis of operon structures identified a large number of new candidate thiamin-regulated genes, mostly transporters, in various prokaryotic organisms. The record is from RNAcentral. Lineage: Bacteria; Bacillati; Actinomycetota; Actinomycetes; Frankiales; Frankiaceae.
UGCGAACGAUGCGGGAGCUUCCACCCGAGGAGGCUGAGAGGGCGGCUGGGCACAAGCCCGGCGCCGCCGACCGCCUGAACCUGUCCGGGUAAUUCCGGCGUAGGGAGUGAUGGCCGUGACGCG